RNAcentral lists this transfer RNA (72 nucleotides) under Pteropus alecto (black flying fox). It matches the Rfam family "tRNA". From Rfam's summary of the family: Transfer RNA (tRNA) molecules are approximately 80 nucleotides in length. Their secondary structure includes four short double-helical elements and three loops (D, anti-codon, and T loops). Lineage: Eukaryota; Metazoa; Chordata; Mammalia; Chiroptera; Pteropodidae. RNAcentral also lists the same sequence under 1 other name. The record is from Rfam by way of RNAcentral.
GGCUCCAUAGUGUAGUGGUUAGCAUGUCUGCUUUAUAUGCAGAAGAUCCUGGGUUCGCGCCCGGGUGCGCCA